AUGAAACCGCUUCGGUGGUGGAUUAGUGGCGAACGGGUGAGUAACACGUGGGCAAUCUGCCCUUCACUCUGGGACAAGCCCUGGAAACGGGGUCUAAUACCGGAUAAUACUCCUGCCUGCAUGGGUGGGGGUUGAAAGCUCCGGCGGUGAAGGAUGAGCCCGCGGCCUAUCAGCUUGUUGGUGGGGUAAUGGCCUACCAAGGCGACGACGGGUAGCCGGCCUGAGAGGGCGACCGGCCACACUGGGACUGAGACACGGCCCAGACUCCUACGGGAGGCAGCAGUGGGGAAUAUUGCACAAUGGGCGAAAGCCUGAUGCAGCGACGCCGCGUGAGGGAUGACGGCCUUCGGGUUGUAAACCUCUUUCAGCAGGGAAGAAGCGCAAGUGACGGUACCUGCAGAAGAAGCGCCGGCUAACUACGUGCCAGCAGCCGCGGUAAUACGUAGGGCGCAAGCGUUGUCCGGAAUUAUUGGGCGUAAAGAGCUCGUAGGCGGCUUGUCACGUCGGAUGUGAAAGCCCGGGGCUUAACCCCGGGUCUGCAUUCGAUACGGGCUAGCUAGAGUGUGGUAGGGGAGAUCGGAAUUCCUGGUGUAGCGGUGAAAUGCGCAGAUAUCAGGAGGAACACCGGGUGGCGAAGGCGGAUCUCUGGGGCCAUUACUGACGCUGACGACCCAAAGC
RNAcentral lists this ribosomal RNA (678 nucleotides) under Streptomyces celluloflavus. RNAcentral's name for it is "bacterial SSU rRNA". It matches the Rfam family "Bacterial small subunit ribosomal RNA", at positions 69 to 760 of the family's 1533-position model. Lineage: Bacteria; Bacillati; Actinomycetota; Actinomycetes; Kitasatosporales; Streptomycetaceae. The record is from RNAcentral.